UCAAGUUUUUAAGAGCACACGGUGGAUGCCUUGGCAUUAGGAGCCGAAGAAGGACGUAGGAAUCUGCGAUAAGCCUGGGGGAGUCGAUAACCGGACUGUGAUCCCAGGGUGUCCGAAUGGGGAAACCCCGCCAGGGGCGCGAGUUACCUGGUGACCCGCAUCUGAACACAUAGGGUGCGUGGAGGGAACGCGGGGAAGUGAAACAUCUCAGUACCCGCAGGAAGAGAAAACAAUAGUGAUUCCGUCAGUAGUGGCGAGCGAACGCGGAUCAGGCUAAACCGUUCCAUGUGUGAUAGCCGGCGGGCGUUGCAUGGUCGGGGUUGUGGGACUUCCCAUUCUGUCUCUGCCGGGGCAGUGGGGUGAGUAGUGCAGGCAUAGGUGAACGGUCUUGAAAGGCCGGCCAGAGAGGGUGUGAGCCCCGUAACCGAAAUGUUGUGUACCGCCUGGUGAAGUAUCCCAAGUAGCACGGGGCCCGAGAAAUCCCGUGUGAAUCUGUCAGGACCACCUGAUAAGCCUAAAUACUCCCUAAUGACCGAUAGCGGACCAGUACCGUGAGGGAAAGGUGAAAAGUACCCCGGGAGGGGAGUGAAACAGUACCUGAAACCGUGUGCUUACAAUCCGUCGGAGCCUCCGCAGCUUGCUGUGUUGUGGUGACGGCGUGCCUUUUGAAGAAUGAGCCUGCGAGUUAGUGUUACGUCGCGAGGUUAACCCGUGUGGGGAAGCCGUAGCGAAAGCGAGUCUGAACAGGGCGUUGCAGUGGCGUGAUCUAGACCCGAAGCGAAGUGAUCUACCCAUGGCCAGGUUGAAGCGACGGUAAGACGUCGUGGAGGACCGAACCCACUUCAGUUGAAAAUGGAGGGGAUGAGCUGUGGGUAGGGGUGAAAGGCCAAUCAAACUUCGUGAUAGCUGGUUCUCCCCGAAAUGCAUUUAGGUGCAGCGUUGCGUGUUUCUUACCGGAGGUAGAGCUACUGGAUGGCUAAUGGGCCCUACAAGGUUACUGACGUCAGCCAAACUCCGAAUGCCGGUAAGUGAGAGCGCAGCAGUGAGACUGUGGGGGAUAAGCUUCAUAGUCGAGAGGGAAACAGCCCAGACCACCAACUAAGGCCCCUAAGCGUGUGCUAAGUGGGAAAGGAUGUGGAGUUGCGAAGACAACCAGGAGGUUGGCUUAGAAGCAGCCAUCCUUAAAAGAGUGCGUAAUAGCUCACUGGUCAAGUGAUUCCGCGCCGACAAUGUAGCGGGGCUCAAGUACACCGCCGAAGUUGUGGAUUUCAGAUGAUAGCCAAGCCGCUCCCUUUGUGGGGUUGGUUCAGGCGUCUGGAGUGGUAGGGGAGCGUCGUGUGGGCAGUGAAGUCGCGGUGUAAACCAGCGGUGGAGCCUACACGAGUGAGAAUGCAGGCAUGAGUAGCGAAAGACGGGUGAGAAACCCGUCCGCCGAAUGAUCAAGGGUUCCAGGGUCAAGCUAAUCUGCCCUGGGUAAGUCGGGACCUAAGGCGAGGCCGACAGGCGUAGUCGAUGGACAACGGGUUGAUAUUCCCGUACCGGCGAAAAACCGCCCAUGCUGAACAGGGGACACUAACCGCCCGAGACCUGCCCGACACCCCUUGUGGGUGAAGGGUUUUGGUGGAGCGCGGGACCUGAUCCUGGGAGGCAAGCGUAUUAACAGGUGUGACGCAGGAAGGUAGCCGAGCCGGGCGAUGGUUGUCCCGGUCUAAGGAUGUAGGGCGAACGGUAGGCAAAUCCGCCGUUCAUGAUGCCUGAGACCCGAUGGGACCCCCGCAAGGGGGGAUUUGGUGAUCCUAUGCUGCCGAGAAAAGCAUCGACGCGAGGUUUUAGCCGCCCGUACCCCAAACCGACACAGGUGAUCAGGUAGAGAAUACUAAGGCGAUCGAGAGAAUUAUGGUUAAGGAACUCGGCAAAAUGCCCCCGUAACUUCGGGAGAAGGGGGGCCCCCAUCGUGAUGGACACUAGCUGUCCGGAGCGUGCAGGGGCCGCAGAGACCAGGGGGAAGCGACUGUUUACUAAAAACACAGGUCCGUGCGAAGUCGCAAGACGAUGUAUACGGACUGACUCCUGCCCGGUGCUGGAAGGUUAAGAGGACCGGUUAGCCGCAAGGCGAAGCUGAGAAUUUAAGCCCCAGUAAACGGCGGUGGUAACUAUAACCAUCCUAAGGUAGCGAAAUUCCUUGUCGGGUAAGUUCCG
This 2199-nucleotide ribosomal RNA is filed under the name sediment metagenome. RNAcentral describes it as "bacterial LSU rRNA". It matches the Rfam family "Bacterial large subunit ribosomal RNA", at positions 3 to 1985 of the family's 2925-position model. The record is from RNAcentral.